This 472-nucleotide ribosomal RNA is filed under the name uncultured organism. RNAcentral describes it as "partial 16S ribosomal RNA". It matches the Rfam family "Bacterial small subunit ribosomal RNA", at positions 333 to 797 of the family's 1533-position model. The record is from RNAcentral.
ACACUCCUACGGGAGGCAGCAGUGGGGAAUUUUGGACAAUGGGCGAAAGCCUGAUCCAGCAAUGCCGCGUGAGUGAAGAAGGCCUUCGGGUUGUAAAGCUCUUUUGUCAGGGAAGAAACGGUGAGAGCUAAUAUCUUUUGCUAAUGACGGUACCUGAAGAAUAAGCACCGGCUAACUACGUGCCAGCAGCCGCGGUAAUACGUAGGGUGCAAGCGUUAAUCGGAAUUACUGGGCGUAAAGCGUGCGCAGGCGGUUUUGUAAGUCUGAUGUGAAAUCCCCGGGCUCAACCUGGGAAUUGCAUUGGGGACUGCAAUGCUAGAAUCUGGCAGAGGGGGGUAGAAUUCCACGUGGAGCAGUGAAAUGCGUAGAUAUGUGGAGGAACACCGAUGGCGAAGGCAGCCCCCUGGGUCAAGUUUGACGGUCAUGCACGAAAGCGUGGGGAGCAAACAGGAUUAGAUACCCUGGUAGUCCC